Molecule: ribosomal RNA, 253 nt
Filed under: uncultured bacterium
Lineage: Bacteria
Description: partial 16S ribosomal RNA
Rfam family: Bacterial small subunit ribosomal RNA
Source: RNAcentral
GACAGAGGGUGCAAACGUUGUUCGGAAUUACUGGGCGUAAAGGGCGUGUAGGCGGUUUGUUAAGUCUGGCGUGAAAGCUCUCGGCUAAACCGGGAGAGGUCGUUGGAUACUGGCGAGCUAGAGGAUGGUAGAGGCGUGUGGAAUUCCGGGUGUAGUGGUGAAAUGCGUAGAGAUCCGGAGGAACACCAGUGGCGAAGGCGACACGCUGGGCCAUACCUGACGCUAAAGCGCGACAGCAUGGGGAGCAAACGGG